GUAGCUUAUAUACGCUGCUGUGCAUAAAAUUGAUACGAUACGGAGAAGAUUAGCAUGGCCCCUGCGCAAGGAAGACACACAAAUCGAGAAGUGGUCCAAAUUUUU
Molecule: small nuclear RNA, 105 nt
Filed under: Oryza glaberrima (African rice)
Lineage: Eukaryota; Viridiplantae; Streptophyta; Magnoliopsida; Poales; Poaceae
Source: RNAcentral